Non-coding RNA from Paramuricea clavata, 482 nucleotides. The record is from the annotation of a GenBank genome assembly. NCBI's taxonomy places the organism in Eukaryota, Metazoa, Cnidaria, Anthozoa, Malacalcyonacea, Plexauridae.
CAACAAUUUCAGAAAAUAAAUAAAAAACAAACGAAAAAUUAAAGCAUCUAGAAAAGCCCAAUAUAUGGACUGCAAGACGUAAAUUUUGAAUGGUUAUUUCCAUCCUUUGACGUAAUAUUUCAAAUUCGACUAUGAGGACUGGACUAGAUUUCAAGUCCUCGCAAUUUGAUCGAGUCCGAGGCGAAGUUCGGAUAAAGGCCACAGGAAUUAUUGUCGUGAAUUUAGAACUAGUGACUCAUGUGUGUUUUUAAAUGUAUACUGCUUCAUAAGUGUAGCAACUUCAAUGCCUUUAAUAAAAAAUUUAAUAAUGUGUAUGCUUUUCUAAGAAUAAAUUGUUUCGUCCUGUUCCGUUAGAUUUCAUUUGACAUUCUAGUCAAAGGUGUACGGGGCUGAUGCUUUCCAGGGGGGCAGUUGAAAGUUUGCCAGAAUUUGUAUGGAGAAUUGUAAUGAAAUUACCUGAAUUUAAGCUAUUUUUCUGAUAA